This 33-nucleotide ribosomal RNA is filed under the name uncultured Clavulina. RNAcentral's name for it is "partial 28S ribosomal RNA". The record is from RNAcentral. Lineage: Eukaryota; Fungi; Basidiomycota; Agaricomycetes; Cantharellales; Hydnaceae.
ACCUCGAAUCAGGUGGGACUACCCGCUGAACUU